UACGUAGGUGGCAAGCGUUGUCCGGAAUUACUGGGUGUAAAGGGCGUGUAGGCGGGGAUGCAAGUCAGAUGUGAAAUUCCGGGGCUCAACUCCGGCGCUGCAUCUGAAACUGUAUCUCUUGAGUGCUGGAGAGGAAAGCGGAAUUCCUAGUGUAGCGGUGAAAUGCGUAGAUAUUAGGAGGAACACCAGUGGCGAAGGCGGCUUUCUGGACAGUAACUGACGCUGAGGCGCGAAAGCGGGGGGAG
This 245-nucleotide ribosomal RNA is filed under the name uncultured Oscillospiraceae bacterium. Its description in RNAcentral is "partial 16S ribosomal RNA". It matches the Rfam family "Bacterial small subunit ribosomal RNA", at positions 524 to 768 of the family's 1533-position model. The record is from RNAcentral. Lineage: Bacteria; Bacillati; Bacillota; Clostridia; Eubacteriales; Oscillospiraceae.